This 335-nucleotide ribosomal RNA is filed under the name uncultured Spongospora. RNAcentral describes it as "SSU rRNA". The stretch from base 110 to 335 matches the Rfam family "Eukaryotic small subunit ribosomal RNA", at positions 731 to 955 of the family's 1831-position model. The record is from RNAcentral. Lineage: Eukaryota; Endomyxa; Phytomyxea; Plasmodiophorida; Plasmodiophoridae.
GACUUGUGUGUGCUUGCAAUUGCGGUCAGUUGCCAAAAGGUAACUCCGACAUGCGUUGCAGGCGCCGUCAAACCUUCAACUGGAUCGUGCCUGGGCUUCAUUGUCUGGGCACUGUCAUUCGGUUGAUCAUUUACUGUGAGAAAAUUAGAGUGUUCAAGGCAGGCAUUAUUGCAAUUGAAUAUGUUAGCAUGGAAUAAUAAGAUAAGGCUUUCGGCCUAUUUUGUUGGUUUCUAGAUCGGAAGUAAUGAUUGAUAGGGAUAGUUGGGGGUGCUAGUAUUCAACGGCCAGAGGUGAAAUUCAUGGAUUCGUUGAAGACUAACUUAUGCGAAAGCAUU